AGGGUUUGAUCAUGGCUCAGGAUGAACGCUAGCGGCAGGCCUAAUACAUGCAAGUCGAACGGUAACAUUGGUGCUUGCACCAGAUGACGAGUGGCGCACGGGUGCGUAACGCGUAUGCAACCUACCUUUUACUAGAGUAUAGCCCAGAGAAAUUUGGAUUAAUCCUCUAUAACAUCUUUUAAUUUCAUGAUUUUAAGAUUAAAGUUUUAACGGUAAAAGAUGGGCAUGCGUCCUAUUAGUUUGUAGGUGAGGUAACGGCUCACCUAGACUACGAUAGGUAGGGGCCCUGAGAGGGGGAUCCCCCACACUGGUACUGAGACACGGACCAGACUCCUACGGGAGGCAGCAGUAAGGAAUAUUGGACAAUGGACGAAAGUCUGAUCCAGCCAUGCCGCGUGCAGGAUGACAGCCCUACGGGUUGUAAACUGCUUUUAUACAGGAAGAAACACUCCGACGUGUCGGAGCUUGGCGGUACUGUAAGAAUAAGGAUCGGCUAACUCCGUGCCAGCCGCCGCGGUAAUAC
RNAcentral lists this ribosomal RNA (523 nucleotides) under uncultured bacterium. RNAcentral describes it as "bacterial SSU rRNA". It matches the Rfam family "Bacterial small subunit ribosomal RNA", at positions 8 to 526 of the family's 1533-position model. The record is from RNAcentral.